RNAcentral lists this ribosomal RNA (253 nucleotides) under uncultured prokaryote. RNAcentral describes it as "partial 16S ribosomal RNA". It matches the Rfam family "Bacterial small subunit ribosomal RNA", at positions 524 to 776 of the family's 1533-position model. The record is from RNAcentral.
UACGGAGGGUGCAAGCAUUAAUCGGAAUUACUGGGCGUAUAGGGCGCGUAGGCGGUUUUGUAAGUCAGAUGUGAAAUACUGGGGCUCAACCUCAGUGCUGCAUUUGAAACUGCAAGGCUGGAGGAUGGAUGGAGAGAACGGAAUUCCACGUGUAGCGGUGAAAUGCGUAGAUAUGUGGAAGAACACCGGUGGCGAAGGCGGUUCUCUAAUUUAUUCCUGACGCUGAGGCGCGAAAGCAAGGGGAGCAAACAGG